Molecule: ribosomal RNA, 2647 nt
Organism: Lupinus angustifolius (narrow-leaved blue lupine)
Lineage: Eukaryota; Viridiplantae; Streptophyta; Magnoliopsida; Fabales; Fabaceae
Rfam family: Eukaryotic large subunit ribosomal RNA
Source: Rfam
GAACCUCAGGUCAGGCGGGGCUACCCGCUGAGUUUAAAGAUAUCAAUAAGCGGAGGAAAGGAAACUAACAAGGAUUCCCUUAGUAACAGCGAGCGAACUGGGAAAAGCCCACCAUGAGAAUCAGUCACCCUCGAUGUCAGAAUUGUAGUCUGGAGCAGCAUCCUCAGUGGUGGACCAGGCCCAAGUCCCCUAGAAGGGGGUUCUGGAGAGGGUGAGAAUCCUGUCGUGCCCAGAACCUGUCGCACCAUGAGGCGUUGUCGGCGAGUCGGGUUGUUCGGGAAUGCAACCCCAAUCGGGUAGUAAAUUUCGUCAAAGGCUAAAUAAUGGUGAGAGACCGAUAGCGAACAAGUACCGCGAGGGAAAGAUGAGAAGGACUUUGAAAAGAGAGACAAAGAGUGCUUGAAAUUGUCGGGAGGGAAGCGGAUGGGUGUUGGUGAUGUGCCUCCGUGGAUGUGGAACAGCGAGAGCUGGUCUGCCAAUCGACUUAGGGCAUAGACCGACAUGAAUUGUGAUGGUGGCCCAAGCCCAGGCUAUUGACAUGCUCAUGGAUACGUCAUCAUAACGAUUGUUAUUGGAAGCACACGUUUUUUGGUGUGCUUCAGCACCUCCGUGCUCUAGGCGUUGGCCUAUGGGCUCCCCAUUCAGCCCGUCUUGAAACACAAAACAAGUUAUCUGACAUGUGUGCGAGUCAGCGGGCAAGUAAACUCGUAAGGCGCAAGGAAGCUGAUUGGUGGGAUCCGUUAUGGGUUGCACCGCCGACCAACCCUAAUCUUUUGUGAAGGGUUCGAGUGAGAGCAUACAUGUUUGGACCCGAAAGAUGGUGAACUAUGCCUAAGCAUGGCGAAGCCAGAGGAAACUCUAGUGGAGGCCCGUAGCGAUACUGAUGUGCAAAUCGUUCGUCUGACUUGGGUAUAGAGGUGAAAGACUAAUCGAACCGUCUAGUAGCUGGUUCCCUCAAAAGUUUCCCUCGGGAUAGUUGAAGCUCACAAGCGACUUCUAUUGGGUAAAGCCGAUGACUAGAGGCGUUAGGGGCGCAACACCCUCAACCUAUUCUCAAAAUUUAAAUAGAUAGGACGACGUGGCUACUUUGUUGAGCCACGCCACGAAAUUGAGAGCUCCAAGUGGGCAAUUUUUGGUAAGAAGAACUGGCGUAGCAGGAUGAACCAGAAGUUGGGUUACGGUGCCCAACUACGCGCUAACCAAGACCCCACAAAGGGUGUUGGUCGAUUAAGAUAGUAGGACGGUGGUCAUGGAAGUCGAAAUCUACUAAGGAAUGUGUAACAACUCACCGGCCGAAUCAACUAGCCCGGAAAAAUGGAUGGCGCUAAAGCACGCGACGUACCCCCGAUCGUCGGGGCAAGGGCAGGCGUCUAUGAGUAGGAGGGUGUGGCGGUUUCUACAAAACCUGGGGCGUGAGCUCGGGUGGAGCGGUCGUUGAUGCAGAUCUUGGUUGUAAUAGCAAAUAUUCAAAUGAGAACUUUGAAGGCCAAAGAGGGGAAAGGUUCCAUGUGAAUGCCACUUGCACAUGGGUUAGUCAAUCCUAAGGGACGGGGGAAGCUCAUUUGAUAGGGCUCUAAGCGUGCAAACGGAAAGGGAAUCGGGUUAAAAUUCCUGAAUCGGAACAUGGCAGCUGACAGCAACAUUAGGGAGUCCAGAGACGUCGGCGGAGCCCCCGAAAAGAAUUAUCUUUUCUAUUUAACAACCUGCCUACCCUAGAAACGGCUCAGUCGGAGGUAGGAUCCACCGGCUGGAAGAGAACCACACGUUGCAUGGUGUCCGGUGCGCCCCCGACAGCCCUUGAAAAUCUGGAGGACCAAGUGCCUCUGACACCCGAUCGUACUCAUAAUCGCAUCACUUCUCCAAGGUAAACAACCUCUAGUCAAUGGAACAAUGUAGGCAAGGGAAAUCGGAAAACUGGAUAUGUAACCUCGGGAAAAGGAUUGGCUCAGAGGGCUGGGCACCGGGUUCCUAGUCCUGAACUCGUCGACUGUCGAUUAACUGCUCGAGCUGCUCUUGCAGCGAGAGAGGGUCGUCGUGUGCCAGUUUGGGGACGGAUUGGGAACGAGCCCUUCAGGGCCUCUUCCCUAGGCGUCAUAUAGUCGACUCAGAACUGGUACAGACAAGGGGAAUCCGACUGUUUAAUUAAAACAAAGCAUUGCGUUGGUCCCGACAGGUGUUGAUGCAAUGUGAUUUCUACCCAUUGCUCUUAAUGUCAAAGUGAAGAAAUUCAACCAAGCGCGAGUAAACGGUGGGAGUAACUAUGACUUUCUUAAGGUAGCCAAAUGUCUCGUCAUCUAAUUUGUGGUGCACAUGAAUGGAUUAAUGAGAUUCCCACUGUCCUUGUCUACUAUCAAACUUUGGAUUAUGACUGAACGCCUCUAAGUCAAAAUCCAAGCUACAAGUGAUGAAUGUCCCAUCGCCCGUUUGCCGACCAGCAGUAGGGGGCCUUGGCCCCCCACAGGCACGUGCCGUUCGUGAGCCCCGUUGGGUGGACGAGCCUCAUGGGACGCCUUGAAGCAUUAUUUCCCAUUGGGAGGUGGGUAGAAUCCUUUGCAGACGACUUAAAUAUGUGACAGGGUAUUGUAAGUGGCAAAGUGGCCUUGCUGCCAUGAUCCACUGAGAAUCAGCCUUUGUCGCUUCGAUUCAU